ACACACACACACACACACACACACCGCUAGCUAACAAAGACACAAUACAGACGUACAUAUGUGUGUGUGUGUGUGUGUGUGUGUGUGUGUGUGUGUGUGUGUGUGUGUGUGUGUGUGUGUGUGUGUGUGUGUGUGUGUGUGUGUGUGUGUGUGUGUGUUAACCCCCCCUCCUCCUCCUUCUCUUCCUCCACCCCUAUAAUUGAGUGAGCAUGUGUAGAGGAGGAGGAGGAGGAGGAGGAGGAGGAGGAGGAGGAAGAUCUUCACCAACCCCACACCUCUUCUCUUCCUCCUCCUCCUCUUCUUCCUCUUCCGCUAUGCCCUACCUAGACCAGCCAAGGUCGGGAGGAGAUGGGAAGAAGAGGAGGAGGAGGAGGAGGAGGAAGAAAGGGAGGGAGGGAGAGAAAAAACUCCUCCCCCUUUUUUCUCUCUAUAUAUACAAAAACUGAGAGGGAGAGAAGGGGGGAAGGGGGGGCAUGUAUGUAUGUAUGUAUGUAUGUAUGUGUGUGUGCGUGUGUGUGUGUAUGUAUGUCAGUAUGUACAUAAUAAGUAUACACAUGAACGUAUUUUAAUAAUGGAAUAAGGAGGAGCGGGAAGAGGAGGAGGAGGAGGAGGAGGAGGAGGAGGAGGAGGAAGACAGGGGAAGAGAGGAGGGGAGAAGAGAAGGAAGGAGCAGAGAGAGAGAGAGAGAGAGAAGGGGGGGUCAAAAAAAGGGUGGGGGGUUAGGGGGGGCUGGUAUGAAUGCAUUGAGAUCAUCGUCAUCAUCAUCAUCAUCGUCAUUAUUAAGUUAACAAUAUGUACAGCAUCUUCACCUGUGUGUGUGUGUGUGUGUGUGUGUGUGUGUGUGUGUGUGUGUGUGUGUGUGUGUUGUAUUGCUUUCUUUCCUUUCCUUUCAAUCUUCUCUCUCUCUCUCUCUCUCUACCUUCCCCCCCCUUUCUUUCCCCUCCAUUCACUUCCCAGGUUUCAUUUUCUCUUUCCCUUCCAUCCUUCCUUUCUUUUUUUCCUUUUCAUCCAUUCCCUUCCUCUUUUUUAACUCUCUUUUCUUCUCUCUCUUCCUCUUCCAUCCUAUCUCUCUUCCUUCCUUCACUUUCAUUGGCUUCGUUUUCCUCUCCCUCCUCUUCCCUCUUCUGUUCUCUCCUUCCUUCCCUAUCUUCUCUUUCCUAACUUCCUUUUCCUUCCCUUAUUCCCUCUUAAUUUUGUUCCCUUCCUCUCCUUUUCCUUUCUUUCCUAACUCUUUUCAUUUCCUUCCUUCUUCAUUUCCUAUUCAUUCCCUCCUUCAUCUUUCUUCUCCUCUCUUCCUUCCUUCCUUCCUUCUUUCUACCACUCACACACACACACAUCUACCCACCCACCCACCCACACACACACACACACCUAUUAAACACACACACACACACACACACACACACACACACACACACACAUACAUACAUAUAUAAGUAUACAUAUAUAUAUAUAAACUACUGCAUAUUUCUGGCUUGUGUAUGUAUUGAGAGGAGGGGGAGGAGGAGGAAGGUGAAGGUGGAGGGGGGAGGGGGAGAAUGCACCCCUUACAAAAUACGUAAGGGUAAUGGAGGGGGGUGGGGGGCUGGGGGGGCCACUUGGGGGGGGGUUGGAUAUCUGACUUCUUAUACAAAAUACCUAAGGGGAAAGGGGGUGAAUUUUGGGGGGUUCUGGGGGGUUUACUGGGGGGGGGGGGGGGAAGGGGGGGAGGUACACACUUAACAAAUAUAUUCUUUUUUCUUCUAUGUUAUUAUUAUUAUCAUUAUCAUUAUUAGUAAAGAGUAAAAAAUCGUUUAAUAAAAAUCACAGAUAUUAUUUUAUUUAUUCAUAGUAUUUCUUGCUUGCUUCCUUAGUGUGUGUGUGUGUGUGUGUGUGUGUGUGUGUGUGUAUGUAUGAGAGUCCGUGUACGUGUAAUAUGUUUCUGUGUGUACGCAUAUGUGUGUGUGUGUGUGUGUACGUAGAUAUGAGCGAGGGAGGGAAGGAAGAAGGGAGAGGAAGAGGGGUGCUGGAAAAGAAGAGGGUAGGGAAGGGGAAGGGGGUUGAAAAUGAAGGGGGGUGUCUGUAUGGGGGGUGAGAGGGGGGUAUGGAAGGGGUGUCUAUGGGGUAGGUGAGAGGGGGUCUGUAUGGGUGUGUGAGGGGUAGGAGGGGGAGGGGGGGCAGGGAAGGGGGGGGGGGGUAGUGGAGGGAGGGGGUUACAAAAAACAUUGGAAAAUUUAUCAACAAAUAUUUUUAUAACAUCAAAAAAAUCUUACCAUUAUUAUUAUUAUUAUCAUUAUUAUUAUUAUUAUUACUAUUAUUUCAGGGGGAACAGGGGGGGCAAGGGAGGCGAGGGGGGCAAGGGGGGGUGGGGGGCAUCAUCAUAACAUAUAUAUAUACCAUCAUUAUCAUUAUUAACAGAGCACUGGAAUUAAACCUUACAAGUGGGGUGAUGUGUAUUGGAGGGGGGGGGGGGGAUCGGGGUGGGGGGUUGAGGGGGGUGGAGUGUGUGUGUGUGUGUUCGUGUGUUUGUCUGGCUAGCGGUAGAAAAAAUUGGCUCUUCUAUCAUCGUCAUCAUCAUCAUCAUUUUCUAAGUCAUCAUUUUCACAUUUUCUUUUUUUAAUGUUUCUUUCUUUCAUAAUGUUUUCUUUCUUUCUUUUCUCUUUUCUUUCAUUUUCUAAGUCAUCAUUUUCACACAUUUUCUUUUUUUUAAUGUUUCUUUCUUUCUUUCUUUUUAUCUCUCACCUCCUUCUCCUCUCUCUCUCUCUCUCUCUCUCUCUCUCUCUCUCUCUCUCUCUCUCUCUCUCUCUCUCUCUCUUCAUCAUUUUCACACUCUCUCUCUCUCUCUCUUUUUUCCCUCCUGUUUCUCCACUUCUUUUCUGUUUUUCCUUCCUUCCUCUCUCUAAUCUCUCUUCACUUUCUUUUUUUUCUCUCUCUCUCUCACUUUGUCAUAUUAUCUCUCAAUUUCUCUUCCUUUCUCUCUCACUUCCUCUAUCUCAACUCUCUCCCGUCAGUUCAGCAUCACUUCACAUAGCAUGGAAGUGAGCUAACUCUAAUCUCUCUUUCUUUCUAUUUGUCUUUAUCACUGUCUUUCUUUCUCUCUCUCUCUCUAUUUCUUUCUUUCCUUUAGUUUCCAUCUCUGUUUCCAAGUCUUUUCUUGCUUUAAUUUUUCUCUCUCUUUCUUUCUCUUUUCUUUAGUCUCUGUCUCUCUCUCUCUCUCUCUAUCUAUCUCUCCUUCUUUCUGUAUUUUUUCUUUCUUUCUUUCUUUCUUUCUCUCUCUCACUUAACACAUAUCACACACUGUCUUUAAAUUCUUCUUCCUCUUCCUCUUUCUUCUUCUUCCUCUUCCUCUUCUUCUUCUUCUUCUUCUUCUUCUUCUUCUUCAUUUCUUCUUAAUGUCUUUUUCUUCUUCCUUCCUCUUCAUCUUCAUAUCCUUACACACACACACACACACACACACACACACACACACACACACACACA
Long non-coding RNA from Eriocheir sinensis (Chinese mitten crab), 3459 nucleotides. RefSeq lists it as uncharacterized. The transcript is spliced from 2 exons. The record is from RefSeq and is a predicted model, not a curated record. NCBI's taxonomy places the organism in Eukaryota, Metazoa, Arthropoda, Malacostraca, Decapoda, Varunidae.